CUACGGGGGGCACCAGGUAAGAAUUUUCUGCAAUACACGAAAGUGUGACAGAGUGAGUCAAAGUGCUUUUCAACGAAAAGCUUUUGCCAGAUGUAAAAAAUCUGGCGAAUAAGGACUGGGUAAGACGGGUGCCAGCCGCCGCGGUAAUACCCGCGGUCCAAGUCGCAGCCAUCUUUAUUGGGUCUAAAACAUCCGUAGCUUGCUUAAUAAGUUUCUUGUGAAAUCUGAUAUCUUAAGUAUCGGACGCGCAGGAAGUACUAUUUAGCUAGAGACUGGAAGACGUGAGAAGUAUGAUUGAUGUAGUAGUAAAAUACUCUAAUCUCAAUCAGACUAACAAUAGCGAAGGCAUCUCACGAGGACAGUUCUGACAGUAAGGGAUGAAGGCUAGGGGCGCAAAACGGAUUAGAUACCCCCGUAGUC
RNAcentral lists this ribosomal RNA (420 nucleotides) under uncultured archaeon. RNAcentral's name for it is "partial 16S ribosomal RNA". It matches the Rfam family "Archaeal small subunit ribosomal RNA", at positions 323 to 746 of the family's 1478-position model. The record is from RNAcentral.